UCGACGUGUGCGUGCAAUGCGUCUGUGCAC
RNAcentral lists this non-coding RNA (30 nucleotides) under Homo sapiens (human). The record is from RNAcentral. Lineage: Eukaryota; Metazoa; Chordata; Mammalia; Primates; Hominidae.